GCGCUGGUGGCCAAGAGGCUAAGAUUGGUAAAGCCAAUAGCAAGCGAAUCCCUGCAGAGGAUUAGAUCGAGGGUUCGAGUCCCUCCCAGCGCU
RNAcentral lists this transfer RNA (93 nucleotides) under Nanobdellota archaeon. RNAcentral's name for it is "tRNA-Cys". It matches the Rfam family "tRNA". Rfam says of the family: Transfer RNA (tRNA) molecules are approximately 80 nucleotides in length. Their secondary structure includes four short double-helical elements and three loops (D, anti-codon, and T loops). Lineage: Archaea; Nanobdellati; Nanobdellota. The record is from RNAcentral.